Molecule: long non-coding RNA, 228 nt
Organism: Protopterus annectens (West African lungfish)
Lineage: Eukaryota; Metazoa; Chordata; Ceratodontiformes; Protopteridae
Exons: 3
Source: RefSeq, a predicted model, not a curated record
CUAAAAUACAGUUCCUUUAGUACUUGCAAAUUUAGGAAAUCAGGUUUUAAUGGGUCAAGAUGAAUCAUCCUGAACAAACACUAGCUCAGAUACCACGUACGUCAACCAUGCCUGAGUACAGGUAACAUCUGCAUUUAACCAGAUUAUCCUUCAGACCAAGGAAUCCUCCAUGGAAUGUCAAGUGUCUCAGAAUAUGUGCCCAUAUUUUGGCUUUACAAUCUGUUUUGC